UUUUUAUUUCUGUGAAAUUUGGGGUUUUUUUGUUUUUUGAACGUGGAUUUACGGAUGCGACGAAGAGGUAGAUGAUGUGGAGUAUGGCUGCGCAUCAGGCUACAUAUUGCUUCAGAUCAGCUUCCCCUCUCGCUUCAAUUUCAGUCCACUCACAGUUUAUUUUUCGUAUUCAGUUUUAUUGAUUAUCUGAUGUAUUGUACUUUUCAGAAGUCUAUUAGAUGGAUGGUCUAGCUGCAAAAUAAACGUUAGGGAAAUCUGCUCCUUUGAUCCUUCUUUUAGUUAUUUACAAUAGCAGAUUAAUUAAUUCUUCUGCUCAAUCGGCCCUUAUGUUUGUCAUUCAGAGUUGUAUAUGUCAGAUGUUAGGAAAAUCAUUUGGCAUCUUUCUCAGCUAUAUUUGUGUGAUUAUUUUGAAGGCACAGUAUUAAACACAUAGAGAAAAGGAAACCUAACUCAAUUUCUUUUGUCUAUUUGCAGUUUUGUCAGUAGCUAUUUGUUGGCUAGGCCUGGAGGUUGAUAGGCCAACAAAUCAUUGAAACCCAGUGCUUCACCCUGCUGCUACACUGCAGACAUGCUGUUAUCUAUAAUGUUUUGAUUUUUUUUCAGCAUUUUUUUCGUCUCAACACAGGUUAAGGCCGGAUCCAACAACCUAUAAAACAAUGUGUAAAAGACUACACCUUCGGCAUCAUAGUGCCAUCUAAUCUCAUUUUCUCUCUAUAUGGUCUACUAUAUAUGUGCUGAGCACCAUCUAAUACGUGUGGUUGGCGUGAGUUUGAUUAAAUCUGCACAUGAAGAUGCUUUGUAGUCUGCCAUCAUGUGCUCUAAUGUUCUUUCUACUAGAACAUGGGUCAGAUAACCGAAGGCAAGAAGAGAAAGGGUACCAGCGACAAGAGACGCCCGGCCAAGGCCCUCUUCAAGGGGAAGCAGAAAUCUUAGUCUUGCCAGACUGCAGUUGCAGAACCGGGCCAGGACAAGCGCGCCAGCAAGGAAAUCAACCAUGAGGCUGCAGAUGAGGCUUCUCCUCGGUUUGCCAGCUGAGGAGGUCCGGCUUCAUCUCCUCCGUUGGAAACAGUCCUAUAAGCUUCCUCUUUGUCAUGUCCCCCUCCCCAUGUACACAAAUAAGAGGAAAGGAAGCAGUGAAACGGGUCCCGACAGGGAGAAGCGACGGCAGAAAUAAAAUGAUGUGCGGUUGCAUUGUCUUGUGGUGUUGAUCAUCUGAUGGACAGAGAGGAGUUUGCUUCCAGGAUCUGUCAAGGACAGAGCGAUCAUGUCGCUGCAGAUGUUGUGACAACGCGUUGUGCUCGAUGUGUUCAUCUAUGUCGAUGCUAUCCUGGGCAGGGCACUUCCCGUCUAAAUAUUGUUACAGGUCAGGUCCAUGUUUAGGUUUUUAACUGAAGCCUGCAGAUGAUGGUCACAGAUCAUUUCCAGGCACGAUGAACUCAGUUUAGAUAGGAGACCCAUACAACUACCUCUGUUUAUUGUACUUCUCUAUCUGAUGAGUUGAGGUUUACCUGCUUUAGUUCUGAUCUUUGUACUGUCUGUUGUUGUAUGUACCUGCACUAAAUGAGUAUACCAUAGGUUGCACUUUAUUGACCUACUGUCUCCGUGGUGUUUGUUCUUAAGCGUGUUCCAGUUAUCAAUCAGACUACCAAUGAGUAAUUUCACUGAAAUGAACCAACUGAAAGCAUGCUUUAGAGUGUCGCAGCUAUUUUCUUCUGGCCUUUGCUCUUGGAUCUCUUUCAUGUGAUAGUUUUGGUUUUGAUUCAGGCAGUAACUCAGGACAGAAACAAAGCACCCAUGGUGCCUCAGAGAAAGAUAACAUACCAGUUAUUGUCGGCUGAAUCCGCGCUUACUUCACGGGAGGUUGCCUAAAUCCUCUAUCAUUCCUCCUUAGACUCUUGAAGGUGAUGGCACCCUAUCCGCUCAAUCGCCAGUGAGCUUACUCAGUUUGGGUCACUGGUGCCUGCUGCCGGAGCCGGAUGGCGCAAGUCUAGCUCCUCAUCCUCCAGCUCUACUGCCGGUCUGGCCCUGCAAACAAGCGGGCGGCUUGCUAUUGCUCGCAAUGGCAUCCCCAGCGUGGCAUGGAACAAACGUAGGAUCCAGCGAAGACCAGCCACACCGGCUCGACAGCACGAUGCACUGGUGGAAACUACCUCCUUCGCCCUCGGGCUCUACGAAUCAACGACGCGGCUGAGCUUCAGUAUUGCGAGCCUCGCCCGCACGUGCAUGCACACUUUCAGUCAUCAAAGCAUGCCGGCCAUGGACGCCGGCGUCCUGACUGCUAAUUCAACACCUCAGCGGGGCGCAUAGUGCAGCCUCUGAGCGCGUGCCCGGCCGCCGCGACGUGAGCCACAUCUCCUUGGCCGCCGGCACGCCGCUGUGUCGAAUCUGAGAGAGAGAGGGAGAGGGGGGAGGAGAAAAGGAUAAGGAUGGAAUCACAACUAGAGCGGCAGACAGAGACAGUGUUAGCCGUGGAGGCACACACUCGAGCACUCGCUGCAUGCGCGUUCCUGUGUCACAUGCUCACGGCGUGUGCGUAACAAGUGUCGAAUUAAGUACUAGUAGUGUUGUACCUGCAGCUGCAGUCUAUGGAGUAGAGAAUUACCGUACGGUUGUGUUAGAGUACAUGCACAAUUUAUUUCUUGCCAACACGAAGCAAUAAUACAAUAA
Lolium rigidum is the source of this 2667-nucleotide long non-coding RNA. RefSeq lists it as uncharacterized. The record is from RefSeq and is a predicted model, not a curated record. Lineage: Eukaryota; Viridiplantae; Streptophyta; Magnoliopsida; Poales; Poaceae. The transcript has 4 exons.